This 253-nucleotide ribosomal RNA is filed under the name uncultured bacterium. RNAcentral's name for it is "partial 16S ribosomal RNA". It matches the Rfam family "Bacterial small subunit ribosomal RNA", at positions 524 to 776 of the family's 1533-position model. The record is from RNAcentral.
UACGUAGGGACCGAGCGUUGUCCGGAAUUACUGGGCGUAAAGGGUGCGCAGGCGGUUAUAUAAGACAGAUGUGAAAUCCCCGGGCUCAACCUGGGAACUGCGUUUGUGACUGUAUGACUAGAGUACGGUAGAGAGGGGUGGAAUUCCUGGUGUAGCAGUGAAAUGCGUAGAUAUCAGGAGGAACAUCGAUGGCGAAGGCAGCCCCUUGGACCUGUACUGACGCUCAUGCACGAAAGCGUGGGGAGCAAACAGG